RNAcentral lists this long non-coding RNA (1260 nucleotides) under Monodelphis domestica (gray short-tailed opossum). RNAcentral's name for it is "lncRNA (ENSMODG00000031428.2)". The record is from RNAcentral. Lineage: Eukaryota; Metazoa; Chordata; Mammalia; Didelphimorphia; Didelphidae.
CUAACUAAUAACAUACUACAUCUUCAUUUUGUUAGUUGACAUUAUACCUCAAUGAAUUUCCAAAAAUUAAUUCAAACUUCAUUGUCGAUGGUAUUAACCGAAGGGUAGGUGAAAUUGUAAGAGAAACUGACCUGUCAUUCAAAAUGGUAUAUAUUUAGCAAGGAACCCUAGAUUAACAUUGGGAGCUCUUAGGCUUUUUCCUUAUUAAUUAUCACAGUGUGUAAUUAAAAUAUUCUCUAAAUUCAAAACUAAAAAAUUCUACAACUGAAGGAUGUGAUUAAAAAUAUGGUCCAUAUUAUCAUGUGUAUUUUUAGCUAAUUAAUCUGUAGUGCAAAUAUUUAGUAGGGGUUGGGGGGAAUAGAAAGGUAAUAUUGCUAAAAGACCCUUUUUGUGUAUAUUAAGGAAGUUUAUUUUCAUAACCCUGAAUAUUUUGAAUGAAUUUUUUUUGCAUUCAUUAGGAAUAUAUGAGCAGAGAUUCAGUCCUGGGAUUUGACCGUCUGAAGGGCAGUGAAGACAAAUAUGCUCCCAGAUUGGCAGAACUGAACAUUGAAAGCCAAAUGGGAAAAGACAAGUUAUGCAAAUUAUUUAGGAGCCUCAGAAAGGACUUUAAUGGAUUUGCAAAUGGAGCACAUCAAGAAGAUAUUAAAGCAACUUUUAAUAUAAAUGUUAGAAGGAGGAAAUCACUAAAUCUUGAAACCUGGAAAACAUUGUUAAAGGGCUCAAAUCAAUUCUCUGCCCCAAUGGAUUGGAUUGGUCUUCCCUCUUUGAGUCAAUUUCAAUGCAUGUUGCACUGUCAAAUGCAGACAUCAAAGAGGCUACAUGAUUCCAGGGUCAAAGUAAGCUUUAACCUGUUGAAGCCAGUAUUAUGAUUUCUCUGGAAACUCCUCAUUGUGGGAUCUGGAACCUGUUGUUCUGAUCAGAUGACCAGCCUCCUCAGUUUUCACUAUGGACUUCUGUUUAUUUUGUAAAACAAGUUAUGUCAAGAGGCUCUGCCUUCUAUGAGACACCCUCUCACCUGAAGUGUAUUGAAACCCUGCCCUUACUGGCCCUCCCAGGCACUCUAGUACUUUGGUGCUGUCUUAAGUUCUGACUUGCAAUUCUUUUGCCUUGAUUAAAGACCUUUGUUUUGAAAUUUUGGUAUUUCUCUUUAUGGAAGGCUGACAAUACAAAGUAAUACAAAGCAAUUUCAAGCCAAAAAAGGUGCCAAAUUGGUGGGGUUGCAGAAUCAAUAAAGAUUUUAUACCACAUUUUUUAAGGCCA